AGCUUGCUGCUUCGCUGACGAGUGGCGGACGGGUGAGUAAUGUCUGGGAAACUGCCUGAUGGAGGGGGAUAACUACUGGAAACGGUAGCUAAUACCGCAUAACGUCGCAAGACCAAAGAGGGGGACCUUCGGGCCUCUUGCCAUCGGAUGUGCCCAGAUGGGAUUAGCUAGUAGGUGGGGUAACGGCUCACCUAGGCGACGAUCCCUAGCUGGUCUGAGAGGAUGACCAGCCACACUGGAACUGAGACACGGUCCAGACUCCUACGGGAGGCAGCAGUGGGGAAUAUUGCACAAUGGGCGCAAGCCUGAUGCAGCCAUGCCGCGUGUAUGAAGAAGGCCUUCGGGUUGUAAAGUACUUUCAGCGGGGAGGAAGGGAGUAAAGUUAAUACCUUUGCUCAUUGACGUUACCCGCAGAAGAAGCACCGGCUAACUCCGUGCCAGCAGCCGCGGUAAUACGGAGGGUGCAAGCGUUAAUCGGAAUUACUGGGCGUAAAGCGCACGCAGGCGGUUUGUUAAGUCAGAUGUGAAAUCCCCGGGCUCAACCUGGGAACUGCAUCUGAUACUGGCAAGCUUGAGUCUCGUAGAGGGGGGUAGAAUUCCAGGUGUAGCGGUGAAAUGCGUAGAGAUCUGGAGGAAUACCGGUGGCGAAGGCGGCCCCCUGGACGAAGACUGACGCUCANGUGCGAAAGCGUGGGGAGCAAACAGGAUUANAUACCCUGGUAGUCCACGCCGUAAACNAUGUCGACUUGGAGGUU
RNAcentral lists this ribosomal RNA (755 nucleotides) under Enterobacter cloacae. RNAcentral's name for it is "bacterial SSU rRNA". It matches the Rfam family "Bacterial small subunit ribosomal RNA", at positions 77 to 825 of the family's 1533-position model. The record is from RNAcentral. Lineage: Bacteria; Pseudomonadati; Pseudomonadota; Gammaproteobacteria; Enterobacterales; Enterobacteriaceae.